This 508-nucleotide ribosomal RNA is filed under the name uncultured bacterium. RNAcentral's name for it is "partial 16S ribosomal RNA". It matches the Rfam family "Bacterial small subunit ribosomal RNA", at positions 28 to 523 of the family's 1533-position model. The record is from RNAcentral.
GAUGAACGCUAGCUACAGGCUUAACACAUGCAAGUCGAGGGGAAACGACAUCGAAAGCUUGCUUUUGAUGGGCGUCGACCGGCGCACGGGUGAGUAACGCGUAUCCAACCUGCCCACCACUUGGGGAUAAUCUUGCGAAAGUAAGACUAAUACCCAAUGAUAUCUCUAGAAGGCAUCAGAAAGAGAUUAAAGAUUUAUCGGUGAUGGAUGGGGAUGCGUCUGAUUAGCUUGUUGGCGGGGUAACGGCCCACCAAGGCUACGAUCAGUAGGGGUUCUGAGAGGAAGGUCCCCCACAUUGGAACUGAGACACGGUCCAAACUCCUACGGGAGGCAGCAGUGAGGAAUAUUGGUCAAUGGACGGGAGUCUGAACCAGCCAAGUAGCGUGCAGGAUGACGGCCCUAUGGGUUGUAAACUGCUUUUAUAAGGGAAUAAAGUGAGUCUCGUGAGACUUUUUGCAUGUACCUUAUGAAUAAGGACCGGCUAAUUCCGUGCCAGCCGCCGCGGUAA